CAAUAGCGUAUAUUAAAGUUGUUGCAGUUAAAAAGCUCGUAGUUGAAUUUCUGUACAGUCCCAAUUUUGGCUUCGGUCAGGUUGUGGAUUGUGCAUCCGCUUGCAAAUCUAGUUCGGCAUUCACUUGUUGGCUAGGGGAGUAAGCUUUUUACUUUGAAAAAAUUAGAGUGUUUCAAGCAGGCAAUGGCUCGAAUACAUUAGCAUGGAAUAAUGGAAUAGGACUUUUGUCCAUUUGAUUGGUUAUUGGACUUAGGUAAUGAUUAAAAGGGACAGUUGGGGGCAUUAGUAUUUAAUUGUCAGAGGUGAAAUUCUUGGAUUUAUUAAAGACUAACUUAUGCGAAAGCAUUUGCCAAGGAUGUUUNCAUUGA
Molecule: ribosomal RNA, 368 nt
Filed under: uncultured eukaryote
Lineage: Eukaryota
Description: partial 18S ribosomal RNA
Rfam family: Eukaryotic small subunit ribosomal RNA
Source: RNAcentral